AUUGAACGCUGGCGGAAUGCUUUACACAUGCAAGUCGAACGGUAGAGGGGGCAACCCCUCGAGAGUGGCGAACGGGUGAGUAAUAUAUCGGAACGUGCCCAGUCGUGGGGGAUAACGUAGCGAAAGUUACGCUAAUACCGCAUACGAUCUAAGGAUGAAAGCGGGGGAUCGCAAGACCUCGCGCGAUUGGAGCGGCCGAUAUCAGAUUAGGUAGUUGGUGGGGUAAAGGCUCACCAAGCCAACGAUCUGUAGCUGGUCUGAGAGGACGACCAGCCACACUGGAGCUGGGACACGGUCCAGACUCCUACGGGAGGCAGCGGUGGGGAAUUUUGGACAAUGGACGCAAGUCCGAUCCAGCCAUUCCGCGUGCAGGAUGAAGGCCCUCGGGUUGUAAACUGCUUUUGUACGGAACGAAAAGGUCUCUCUUAAUACGGGGGACUCAUGACGGUACCGUAAGAAUAAGCACCGGCUAACUACGUGCCAGCAGCCGCAGUAA
This 496-nucleotide ribosomal RNA is filed under the name uncultured bacterium. RNAcentral describes it as "partial 16S ribosomal RNA". It matches the Rfam family "Bacterial small subunit ribosomal RNA", at positions 30 to 523 of the family's 1533-position model. The record is from RNAcentral.